CUACGGGCGGCUGCAGUGGGGAAUAUUGGACAGUGGGGGAAACCCUGAUCCAGCAAUGCCGCGUGUGUGAAGAAGGCCUGCGGGUUGUAAAGCACUUUCGGUUGGGAGGACUGCUUCUAGCACUAAUAUUGUUGGAAGUUGACGUUACCUUCAGAAGAAGCACCGGCUAACUCCGUGCCAGCAGCCGCGGUAAUACGGAGGGUGCAAACGUUAAUCGGAAUUACUGGGCGUAAAGCGCGCGUAGGCGGCUAGAUCAGUCGGGUGUGAAAGCCCCGGGCUUAACCUGGGAACUGCAUCCGAUACUGUCUAGCUUGAGUACAGGAGAGGAGAGUGGAAUUCCACAUGUAGCGGUGAAAUGCGUAGAUAUGUGGAGGAACACCAAUGGCGAAGGCAGCUCUCUGGCCUGAUACUGACGCUGAGGUGCGAAAGCGUGGGGAGCAAACAGGAUUAGAUACCCCUGUAGUC
RNAcentral lists this ribosomal RNA (465 nucleotides) under uncultured bacterium. RNAcentral describes it as "partial 16S ribosomal RNA". It matches the Rfam family "Bacterial small subunit ribosomal RNA", at positions 339 to 795 of the family's 1533-position model. The record is from RNAcentral.